AUAAAAUUUUGUGAUAAUUUAAUAAUGUAGUUAAGAGAUAUCUGGUUUUUAGCACAAGAGGGUUUUGAAAGUUGGUAGUUUGGAGUUGGAUAGGGUUUUUGUGAUAUUUAAAGAUCUAUCUAUUAGAUCAAGAUGAAAUUUGGCAUAGUGCUGAAGGACUUGAAGAUCAAGUUGCAUACCAAUUUUGAAUCAAAGUUAAUAGUUGUAGAAGGAGAAAUCACUACUGGGAUUUUUGCUUCACUUUUUAAGUUGGCAGUUGAGUGAUAUCAGUGCAAUUUUUGGAGGUUUUCUUACAAUCUGUAAGUUAGAUUAGGCUGAAAAUUCUUGAGCAUAUAGAAGACUUACCUUGACAAUUACAUGCAAAAUUUUACAUCAAGAAGACUGUCUAAUUAGAAGUUACCACUUAUUAAAUCUCUUUGAUAAAGAUUGGAGCUUAUAAGAAAAAUCUAAAUUACUUAAAUAUGAAAUUAACAAGAUAAUU
RNAcentral lists this long non-coding RNA (481 nucleotides) under Physcomitrium patens. RNAcentral's name for it is "long non-coding RNA (PPAT_LNC003673)". The record is from RNAcentral. Lineage: Eukaryota; Viridiplantae; Streptophyta; Bryopsida; Funariales; Funariaceae.